Long non-coding RNA from Onychostoma macrolepis, 1679 nucleotides. RefSeq lists it as uncharacterized. NCBI's taxonomy places the organism in Eukaryota, Metazoa, Chordata, Actinopteri, Cypriniformes, Cyprinidae. The record is from RefSeq and is a predicted model, not a curated record. The transcript has 5 exons.
ACAGCACUGAUUAGUGUCACGCAAAGGAGGGGUUUGAAAAAAUGAAUCGCUGAGUGAAUCGUUUGGGAGUCGUUGAGCAAAUAAGGAAUUAUGAGUGCAUCAUAAUUUAGAGCCCUGUUUGCUGUACAAAACUGCAAAACUGGAACAAAGUCCCCAAGUGCAGCUAAUUGGUAAAGCCACAUCUUUGGAGACAGACACUGGCUUUUGGGUGAGACUUUGGACCAGUCAUGGAUGAUACUUUGGGUAUGCAUCCAAGGAGCAAAUGGAGCCUCUGUUUUGUUUGCCGUGGAUCCUUGAGAAAGUUGUGGUGAUGUUUCAGACAGGCUACCUAUAUUUAAAACUGGAUCCACAGAAAGUGAUACAAACAGAAUAGUCAAAGUUAUUUGAACACCCAAACAGGAUCCAUAGAAUGUGAUGGAAUGUUGUCCACCAAAGAGUCAGGCAUAGAGGAGAUGAUGUAUGCUUGUAUGUUUGCUUAGUAGCUAAAUGAAGCCCAGUAGCCAUUUCUACUGCAAGUAUGUGGUAGCAUUUUCCAGUGCUGGGACAAGAGCAUAAUGCACCAUUUGUGGUAUUCCUAACAAUAUGAACUGUUCCAUCUGAGGGACUUUUUACAACAAAAACUCUCGAUGAUGUAUUCAGACUUACAAGACCCAUUUCAGUGACUGUUUUUGCCAAGGAUGUCAGAGAUGUCAGGAGUUUAGCUCCUUCAACUUUACAUGGCUCAUUUUCUAUGGUGGACUUGACCCUUCUGAUAAUAUCUUCCGAAGGAAGAAAAGAGGGCAUUUGUAAAUCUUUCACUGCUGAACAUAGAUUGUGCUUGGCCGCAUAAUUGCCCAAGCCACAUUUUGCUCUUCAUUGAUUCCUCCAAAUUGGCACAUGCUAAAUCAACAAUGUCUGGCAUUCCUGCAUAAACAAGAAGGUCCGGGAAAGUUGUAAUAUGCCAAAUAAAACCUGGCAGCUGGUAUGCCAAUUCAUGGAGACUAAAUAGAUGGAGACUUUCUUUACAUCUCUGGGCAUACACAGUGUUCUGGACUUGCUUCAGGUUCCGUGGGCAGUUUACUGGCAUUUGCUCCUGAUCAUUGGUGCUUGCUUUAGCCAGGACAGCCUUAUAAAUGUUAGAAGGAGCUUGCCCUUGGUCAUGGAGGAGUAUGUCAGAGAACACCUGUUUUUUGGUGGGAAUAAAUGUUCUAUUUGUUGUGGUGUUUCCAUGCAUAUGUGGAACAUAUGCAGUUUCAUCCCCCAUGUAGUGUAUUAAAUAGAAAUCUGCAGCCAACUGUUUGUCAUCCCUUACUAGAGAGUAAAUGCUCUUUCUGAAAACUGGGGAGCCUUUAUCACAUUGGGGAAUAUAAUUUCAGAACCUUUCCUCCAUAUUUUUUUUUUAUAAUAUUGUGAUAAUUAGAAACCUUUUGUUUCCACGUCAUUUGGUCAUACCGAAAGUCCAUGUUACAAUCAUCAGACUUUACACUUUUAAAAAGAAAGACAUCGCCACCUUUUGGAUGCAGUGGUGGUUCUGUAGAAAUAAAAUCUUUGUAGCAUUCAGCAUUACUAAGAAUUGCUUCUGCUUCCUUCAGUGUAAACUCUGUUUGUUUUUGCAUUAAAGUCAUUUUGCUGCCAUUCACCAGCAUCAAUGCAAUGUUUGUUUAUGUGUAUACUAUGCAGCUCUGGCAUGUUUGAUUGUU